GCUCUCAGCUUUAGCAAGGAGGCCACCAUUUGCUAGAACCUAAGUGGCGAAUUCCCCGUCACCUCACCCAUGCUUAACCUGGCGUCCGAGGAAAAUCUAUUCAAGAGUGGUGCUAUCCCUAGUACCUGGAAGACUUUGAUAGUUCUGGAUA
Long non-coding RNA from Sapajus apella (tufted capuchin), 151 nucleotides. RefSeq lists it as uncharacterized. The record is from RefSeq and is a predicted model, not a curated record. Lineage: Eukaryota; Metazoa; Chordata; Mammalia; Primates; Cebidae. The transcript has 2 exons.